RNAcentral lists this ribosomal RNA (253 nucleotides) under uncultured bacterium. Its description in RNAcentral is "partial 16S ribosomal RNA". It matches the Rfam family "Bacterial small subunit ribosomal RNA", at positions 524 to 776 of the family's 1533-position model. The record is from RNAcentral.
UACAGAGGUCUCAAGCGUUGUUCGGAUUCAUUGGGCGUAAAGGGUGCGUAGGCGGCGCGGUAAGUCGGGUGUGAAAUCUUGGAGCUUAACUCCGAAACUGCAUUCGAUACUGCCGUGCUUGAGGACUGGAGAGGAGACUGGAAUUUACGGUGUAGCGGUGAAAUGCGUAGAUAUCAGGAAGAACACCUAUGGCGAAGGCAGCUCUCUGGGACGGUACUGACGCUGAGACGCGAAAGCGUGGGGAGCGAACAGG